CAGAAAAAGAAAAGGAUUUGAAUCAGACCUCAGGGUCCAUUAGGAGGGAAGGCAGCGCACGUCGAGGCGAGCGGACGAGGGUCUAAAACAAGGAAGAGAGAAGGGAAGGAAGGAAAGCACAGAUCACUAAAGAACAAGACAUCGGGGACAAGGGACGUGUCAAUGCCAUACAAGAAUCAGUGCGCCUGAGGUGCUAAGUGUGAAGUGAGAAGAACGUGACCCGGAGAGCAGAGCCGCUCACCGCGACCUGGACACAAAACUUAACAGGGGACUUGCGGCCGAGGAACAGCCACACAUAUUUACAAGUCUUCAUUUUUUAUUGCAAUAGUAAUCCCGGUUUGUGGGCGCAAUUAAAAAAGGGACCGGUUAUUUAUAGCGCUUGCCCAAUUUUUUUAUAUUAAAAUAUAUUUUUCAUUUGAGCCUAAUCUCUUUGGUCAUUCCCAAUGAAGGAAGCGGAUGCCAUUAAACUCUUUAUUGGACAAAUCCCCAGGAACCUGGAAGAAAAAGACCUGAAACCCAUCUUCGAGCAGUUCGGCAAAAUCUACGAGCUAACGGUCAUCAAAGACAAGUACACAGGCAUGCACAAAGGCUGUGCAUUCCUCACUUACUGUGCCCGUGAGUCUGCCCUGAAGGCCCAGAGUGCAUUGCAUGAACAGAAGACCCUGCCCGGGAUGAACCGGCCCAUUCAGGUGAAGCCAGCAGACAGUGAAAGUCGAGGAGAAGACAGGAAAUUGUUUGUAGGCAUGCUGGGUAAGCAGCAGACAGAUGAAGAUGUGAGGAAGAUGUUUGAACCAUUCGGUAGCAUUGAUGAGUGCACAGUGCUAAGAGGACCUGAUGGAACAAGUAAAGGUUGUGCUUUUGUAAAAUUCCAGACGCAUGCAGAAGCACAAGCUGCCAUUAACUCUCUACACGGGAGUCGCACUUUACCGGGGGCCUCAUCUAGUUUGGUGGUGAAAUUUGCUGACACAGAGAAGGAGAGAGGUCUUAGACGGAUGCAGCAGGUAGCCAACCAGCUGGGCAUGUUUAGCCCUAUGACUUUGCAGUUUGGGGCAUACAGUGCUUAUACACAAGCGUUGAUGCAGCAGCAGGCAGCCCUGGUUGCAGCUCAAAAUGCCUACCUCAACCCCAUGGCCACCAUGGCAGCAGUGCAGAUGCAGCAGAUGGCUGCAUUAAAUGCCAAUGGGCUGAUCGCCACUCCAAUCACACCCAUUACCCCCUCAUCAGUAUGGCAAGGUACAAGCACACCCCCAACUAUUGCUGCCACUCCAGUGCCUGCACUCCCUGCCCCGAUUGGAGUAAAUGGAUACAGUCCAGUUCCGACACAGGCUAAUGGACAGGCUGCUUCAGAAACUAUCUAUGCCAAUGGGGUCCACCCAUACCCAGCCCAGAGCCCAGCCGCUGCAGUAGACCCCCUACAGCAAGCUUACGCAGGAAUGCAGCACUACACAGCGGCUUAUCCUGCUGCAUAUGGAUUGGUGAGUCAAGCAUUCCCCCAGCAAGCCACCAUUGUCACUCAGCAACACCAGCAACCCCAACAGCAGCAACAGAGAGAGGGCCCUGAAGGCUGCAACAUCUUCAUCUAUCACCUCCCACAGGAGUUUACAGACUCUGAGAUGUUACAGAUGUUCCUUCCCUUCGGGAAUGUUAUCUCUGCCAAAGUCUUUGUGGACCGAGCUACCAACCAGAGCAAGUGUUUUGGAUUUGUAAGCUUUGACAAUCCAGCGAGCGCUCAGGCUGCCAUUCAAGCCAUGAAUGGAUUCCAGAUUGGCAUGAAAAGACUAAAAGUUCAGCUAAAGAGGCCAAAAGAUGCCAAUCGCCCAUACUGAUAGAAUAUGAGAAGAAGAGGCAGGGUCCAAUCAUAUCUCGAGAUGACAGUGUCGAUAUGACGUUCUAGCAACCAUUAGCUGUCAUGGGAGACAUAGCUCCAUCCCUUGUUUUUCGAAGGCAGUUACAGAAAGAAAUUGAGGAAAUAUUCUCCUUUCAACAAGUCCCCAAACCCUAAUCUUACUCCCAUCUUUUAUCUGCAUAUACCCCCACCACUCCAUGAAUCACACAUACACAUGCACACAGGUACACAUUUUUCAGGUUGCACAGACACAGAUGCACAGCAAAAAGAGUGUCAAACAAACCAUGGGACAGUCUUAUGUAUGCCCAUUCACUGCCAUUUGGAGAUAAUUGCCGCCUGACGGUUGGUUAAUUAUUUACUAUUAUGGUAUUUUUGGCAUUCCCCAAGCCAUCUUACAAGCUGAAAGUACAUUUUUGCUGUUUACAUUCAUAUACCUGAUUCCACUACCUAAUCAAUGCACAGAGAUUGUAGCAAUUCUCUUUUGCAGUGUUCAGCACACAUAUACAGUAUAGCUAUCAGCCAUCCUUGAUUUUGUUUUUCAUUUAUCUAACAGAGAAAUUAAAUGGAUUUUCUCAAAUUCAAUACUCUUAUGUUUACAGCAUAAAUAAGAAUGCUGCCUCCCUCUUUGUACAUUUUUAUUUACUUGUAUUGAAACAAUACAGGUGAAUGCCUGCUUUCCUGGUUACUUUAAUGUAAACAGCUCCGCGAUUUACAUUAGAGACACUAAAGUCAUUGUCUGCAGGCCAAUUAGUUUUGCAAACUUGUGACCUUUGUUCCUUUUUAGCUUGCUAAUCUUUUUAUUGUACCCCAACAAUAACCUGUGCAAUUUAAACCUACAGAAGGCCCAGUUGCCCGCAUCCCACUUACUUAGUCUCCAAAUCCCGAUCUGGACGCAGCAUUGUGAAUGUGGCCUGCAGAAACAAGGCAUCAACUGUCCCAUGGUACUUCAGUUUAGCUGAUCAAACCAGUUCUGGACCAGUUAGACAUGGCCCUACUUUCUACUAUUUGAAAAUGCUGUAGAAAGCUAAAGAAACAAGUCUUGUUGCAAAUACUUCUUCUCUUCCCUUUCCACCCUUUUAAAGGAAGCAAGGGUUGAAUUGUCAUGUACUUAACGUUGCUACUGGCUUGGUUUCUUCAGAUUGUACACAUAUCUACAGCCCAACAGCUGCUUAUGAGAGACCCCAUCUAAGAUUUCUUUUGGCAACUGCUUUCUUCUGUGCUUGUCUGUACCCUGGAGAAGGCAGCAGACCACAUUGUAUAUCUUUUUUAUGUUUUACACAAGCAUUAAUUAGCCAUUAAUUUACUACUGUAACAGCAAAGAAAUGCAGUACUUUACAGCAAAAAUUAUCAAGAAGACAAUCUUUCAAUAAAGCCUCUCACUAUACAGUCUAAGGCAAGUGAGUGGAAGGAGCGGCAUCCUUUGGCUAUAGCAGCCACUUCUCUGCACUGCAGACCAGUUCUCAUGCCGUUCUCAUCAUUAACAGACAGCUGAUCUCAGAAUUCAUCAUUCCUUUUCCUCUGCACUAAAUGGGUGUUGCCUUGUUAUUGAUAAGCUGCUCGCUUCUGAAAUGGCAUUAUUUGGUUUCAUUGGAAGUGAAAUUUUGACAAAAACAUUGCCGGUAAUCGGGAUAUUGGUAUGAACUGUGCAGAUCCUAACUUCUUGGCACUGGCUUGUCAGGUGGGUGAACAAAAGUGAUCCCUAGAGGAGGACACUUUGCAAAAAAAAAGAAGAAGGACACUGGAGGAUACUUUCUUUUCCUUGCUGUACUUUAUGAGGUAGCAUAUCGUAUUAUACUGUAUGAAAAACAAGUGUUUUUUAUAGCUUGCAGCUCUGACAUUCCAGCUCUGAUCACAAAAUGGACUUGGCCUUCAGGAUUUUCUGGAUUUCAGCCUAGAGUAGCAGGAGCUGUGAUCUGAGCAUUUAAAAUGCGGCUAUCAUUGCCUCUAGGCUUCUGCUCUCAAGCAAAUUCCUUUUAUCAUGUCUGGGUAUAAACCCCAAAGCUAUUGCACAUGUCCGGGAAUCCCCCAAUUUAUUGGGUGCAUCACUGACCAGAUUCAGUCUUAAUUCCCAACCACACUCCUUCUUCUUGUUUUCAUAUAAAAUAUACAAUAUAUGAAGUUUAGAACUAUAAUAUUUAGGGGAAUAAAUAUUCAGGGUUUUAACAGGUAUAUAGAGGGAAAAUAGGCAGGGGGGAGGGUGGGGUUAAAUUAAAAAAAAAGAUAAAACUAUUAUUGGCUUUCAAUCUGUCAAUCAUAAAUAUUUACAAAAAAGAGAAAGUUGUGACUCAAAGACUAGGAAGAAGAAAAUGUUUACAUCCUCAAAACUAUCCUAUAUUGUAAAUAAUUUAGUUUAAAAAAAUAAUAAAUAAAAAAGAAAUAAUAAAUAAAUACAAUGAAUGGUUAUGAAAACUACAGAUUGUUGACAGGUAAACUUUUACAGUUUGAGCAUUUUUUUUAUUGGCUUAUAAGAUUUUAUGAUUUUAGAGAUUUGUAGGUAUUCAAUUUGGCAGUCUGUAUAUUUCAGACAAUGUAACUGCUUAAUUUAUUUCUUAUUUAUUGUAAUUUUUCUUUUUAAUUUAAUAUUUUCUCUCUAAUAAAGAAUUCAAACAGA
Erpetoichthys calabaricus (reedfish) is the source of this 4457-nucleotide RNA transcript. It is a transcript of the gene named cugbp, Elav-like family member 3a, with no coding region annotated. The record is from RefSeq and is a predicted model, not a curated record. The transcript has 15 exons. Lineage: Eukaryota; Metazoa; Chordata; Cladistia; Polypteriformes; Polypteridae.